AGGUCAUUUCAAAGAGGGCAUGUGGGCUGUGAAACCAGGAGCUCUUAACUCGAUGACCAAAGAUUGAAGUUCUCCAUAGGCUGCCAUAGUCAUUCAAUAGCACCAAGGUUUUCUGAGGAGAAAAAAGA
Molecule: small nucleolar RNA, 128 nt
Organism: Diceros bicornis minor
Lineage: Eukaryota; Metazoa; Chordata; Mammalia; Perissodactyla; Rhinocerotidae
Product: small nucleolar RNA SNORA25
Exons: 1
Source: RefSeq, a predicted model, not a curated record